UGGUGGAGUGAUUUGUCUGGUUAAUUCCAAUAACGAACGAGACUCUGUCCUGCUAACUAGGUUGUGUUUUCUCGGGUUGGUGUUUCUGGUGUUCCUUCUCGGGGCGCCGGCCCAAUCCACUUGUGAACACAACACUCUUCUUAGAGGGACUGGCGGCUGUUAGCCGCACGAGAUAGAGCAAUAACA
This 186-nucleotide ribosomal RNA is filed under the name uncultured eukaryote. RNAcentral describes it as "partial 18S ribosomal RNA". It matches the Rfam family "Eukaryotic small subunit ribosomal RNA", at positions 1299 to 1458 of the family's 1831-position model. The record is from RNAcentral.